Molecule: non-coding RNA, 1087 nt
Organism: Paramisgurnus dabryanus
Lineage: Eukaryota; Metazoa; Chordata; Actinopteri; Cypriniformes; Cobitidae
Source: RefSeq, a predicted model, not a curated record
ACCAUUUAGGUCUGAGUUGGAUGUAUUUAUUAUAUAUAUAUGUAUAUUCUUAUUAUAUUAAGAAAUAUAGUGAUAAAUCUGGGGAUAUUACAAAAUCCCGUGAUAGGACAGAUUAUCUCGCGAGAUAGUGGUCACGUCACGCGUUCUUCCGGAAGUUCAUUCAAACACGAGGAGCGAUUACGAGGGAGUUUUGUCUAUAUAUCAUUCAAAAUCUACUGUGGGGUAAGUACAUUGUGUAUUAUUUGAUUAACGUGCUUAAGUUUUACUUCUUUGACACGAAGGCUCCGAAAUAAACGUUGCCAGAAUUGUCCACACUGAGUAUGGCAAAAAUUAGCUAGAAGGCUAAAAGCUAACGUACUUUGAACUUAGGGAUACAGUCAAAGUUAUUACUGUAACGUAUUAAUGUAGCCUCUUGAAAGUCUCUUUCAGAAAGUAAAUUAUCUGAAAAAUAAAAGUUAUUUGGCAUUAAUGGAAUUACAAUGAUUUGAUUGCCUAAACAUUGCACAUGCAAAAUAUUAAAUACUGUUUUGCAUUAAAAGUUUAGCAGAAGUUUUUGUUUGAUUAACUUCCUUUGCUUUUGUUUUGUACAAAGGAAAAGCAGAACCUCAUCCAAAUAAAAAUAAACAAACUGUGAAAGGCACUGUGUCCUACACAGACCGUCCAAAAUAUAACCACCCAAAACCCAAGUCAGUUGAAGAUCAACACAAACCAAAUAAAGAUGUGCAUUUUACAAACAAUAAAAAAAGAUCAAGUUUUGUGUCCACCACACUUAGAUGAGGCGUGCCUGACUUUGUCUACCCUACAUUAAGUUGCACACUUCAUGACAGUAAACAUCGGUAUCACAAUGGUGUGAUUGAUCUAUACCCUAGGCCUAGAAUAAGCUGUGACACUAUGAGACGGUCACAUAAUGAACAGCCAUCUUACAGACAACUGAAAGAGGCAUAGUAUUGUUUUCUUGUGUAUUGUCAUACACCUAAAGAGGAUUUUUGUAAUCGUACAGUUAUGGUGUUAUUCAUUCAUAAAUGUGUCCUUUCUUACCUUAAAUAACUUAUCAUUUUUCACAUCUUUUGUUUUUAAUGUCUAUAUA